AUGGACGCGCUCUCCCUCAUCGACGUCUCCGGCGAGGAGGACGACUUCCUCCUCGACCUCGCCUCGCCGCCGCAGCACCCCGACCCGCCAGCCCGCGCCGCCCCAGGUGCUGCGGUGGUGGGCGCCGAUUCGAAGCGGCCCGCCGUCGGAUCUCCUCCUCCUCCUCCGGCGGUGGCGGGCGGGCAGGCCGUGGAUCCCGCGGAGCAGGCCCCGGAGCGGGCGCAGUCCCCGAAGAAGACCAAGGGCGUCAACCUCCGCAAGAGCCUCGCCUGGGACAAAGCCUUCUUCACCAGCGAAGGUGUUCUCGAUACUGAGGAAUUGGGCAUUGUAAACAGCACUUUCCGCAAGUCGCAGGGUCCUAGGCUGCUGCCAGGAAUAGCAGAGGAAAUGAGGAGGUCAAUGGAGUCCACCACCUCCUCGUUGGAAAGUGAAAGCUUUGUGCUGGAAAGCCUUGAGACUGAGCUGUUUGACAAUGUCCGUGCUUCGAUUCAGAGAACGCUUGGGAAACCUGAUAAAGCUCCUAUUGUGGCUUCUGGAAGCUCAAAAACCCCUAGGUCCGCAGCAAAGGCGCCUCCUGUCACAGUGAGAAAGGGGGUUGAUCGGAUACCUCAGACUCAGAGCAAGAUAAGGCCCCCUGCUUCAAUAAGCAAUGGUUCCGUUGGUGGUACCAAACAAAGGCCCCAAGUCACCCUGAAAGAGCCUGCAGCUGCAAGAGUGGCUGCAUCAAAAGCUGCAGAAGCAAAACCAUCCUCAAAGCCUCCCAGAGCUCUGCCAAGAGUUGCUACAAUGAGAGCACCGACUAACACAGCUGUCACCUCUGGGAUUGCAGACAAAAGAAGCAGCACUGGAGGUGUAGUCAACAGGCAGGCAGUUGCCAAGUCUGCUAACAGUUCAGCCAGUGUGCCAUCUCGGCCUGGUGGGGGCCCAAAGAACAACUCAACCUCAAAAUCUGGUGCUUUGUCGUUAGCAGCAAGUCCUUCCUUGCGUAGUGCUCCCAUGGCAGGUGGGAAAACAAAGUCACCGACCCUAAUCAGCAAGAACAGGACCGCUCAGAGGAUCCCUAUUCGUUCAUCAUCAAGAUCUGAUAUCAGCAAGGUUGACCCAGCAAGGGCAUCAAGAAAUAAGAGUCAUGGUGAGAGUGCAUCACCGACCAUUUCACCAAGCAGUUCUGUGGACAGCAUGAGUUCUGUGAUUUCUGGGGUUUCAACAGCAUCCACUGUAGGGAGAGCGAGUCAUACAUCUGAGACCUUUAGUACAAGGUCGUCUUCAUUGUCCCCUUCCACCAGAAAGAGCAAUGACCACCCUCCAACCACACUACGGAGGCCUGUUAUUGUUAGAGAAGGACAGGCUUCAGGAGCAUUUGCUGAUAAUGUGAAAUCUAAUGUCGACACAUCAACCCAAGGAAAUGGUUUUAAACCAUCUGGUCUACGAAGGCCUACACCCAAGAUUGGAUAUUUUGAUGCCGAGAAAUCUGUUGAACAAAAAGCCGGUGCACGGGCACAACUGCAACCCACGAAGGUUCUGUUUUCACCGUUGGCCACACAGAACUCUUGGAUUCCUUCUACUCCGAAGACAAUCCCUGCAACUCUUACCUUUGAGCAAGAAGAACCAAAAUCUAGGGCAGCAGCACCUUCUCAAACUAAGGCGUCACCUUCACUACCUCUCAGAGUUGCACAAACUGAGGUAAAACCAUCAAAGGUGACAGAGCAUGAAGUUUCUCAAAAGGAGGCAUUGCCUUUACUGUCUCCAAGAGUUGCACAAACUGAAACGGAACCAUCAGAAGUGGCGGAGGAUGACAUUUCUCCAACUAAGGCAUCACCUUCACUGCCUUCUCUUACAGUCGUGCAAACCGAAGUAGAAUCUUCAAAGGUAUCCGAGAAUGAAGCAGCCAUGCAUGAGUCUGGUCCACUGGUCACCUUCACUGCUUCAUUCUCGGAAACUACAGUAGCACCUUGCGAGGACAGCAGUCCUUCACUGCUUCUUGGAGUUGCAAAAAUGGAAGUAGAACCAUUGGGAGUGAUUGACCAUGAAGCGGAAACAUCAAAGGUGUCGGAGCAUGAAGCACACGUGCUGGAGACUGGCCCAUUGGUUGCCAUGGACAUUGCAGAGGACGAGGGGAUUCCAGCUUUAAAUCAGAAUGUCCAGGCCAAUGGCGAUAUCAGUUCAUCAACUGUUGAGCUGUCAUCAUGUACCUCUGGUCAGCAAGAAUCAGAAACUACAGCAGCACCUUGCGAGGACAGCAGUCCUUCACAAAACAAGGUAUCACCUUCACUGCCUUCUCUUACAGUCGUGCAAACCGAAGUAGAAUCUUCAAAGGUGGCGGAGCAUGAAGCACACGUGCUGGAGACUGGCCCAUUGGUUGCCAUGGACAUUGCAGAGGACGAGGGGAUUCCAGCUUUAAAUCAGAAUGUCCAGGCCAAUGGCGAUAUCAGUUCAUCAACUGUUGAGCUGUCAUCAGGUGCCUCUGGUCAGCCACAAUCAGAAACUACAGCAGCACCUUGUGAGGAAAGCGUUUCUUCUCAAACUAAGUUAUCAUCACCUUCACUGCCUCUUGAAGUUGCAAAAAUGGAAGUAGAACCAUUGGAGGUGAUUGAGCAUGAAGCUUGCAUGCCCCAGGCAGCCAUGGAUAUUGCAAAGGAGAACAUUCCAGCCAUGGAUACCGCAAAAGAGAACAUCCAGCCUGGUGGUUAUUCGAGUCCACUAAAGGAGAACAUUCUGGCUUCGCAUCAAAAUAUCCAGCCUGAAGAGCAUAUGACUCCUGUAAAGGGAAGCAUCCUGGCCUCACACACAAAUGCGCAGGCUAUUGGGGAGAUGACUCCAAUUACUCUCCUGAGCCAGAAGCUGUCCUCCAUUUCUCUAGGACAAGCUAAUGGGGAGGCGACUCCAUUGACUCAGAAGGCGUCCUCCAUUUCUCAAGGACAAUCUAAUGGGGACGUGACUCCAUUGACCCAGAAGGCGCCCUCCAUUUCUCAAGGACAAUCUAAUGGGGAGGCGACUCCAUUGACCCUGUUGGCGCAGAAGCUGUCCUCCAUUUCUCUUGGCGAUGCCACCGACUAG
Molecule: ribosomal RNA, 3057 nt
Filed under: Triticum aestivum (bread wheat)
Lineage: Eukaryota; Viridiplantae; Streptophyta; Magnoliopsida; Poales; Poaceae
Description: partial small subunit ribosomal RNA
Source: RNAcentral